UUUUGGGGCAGUUUUGGGGUAUUUUUGGGGCUAUUUUGGGUCAGUUUUGGGUGGUUUCGGUGUCUCUGAUGCCGGGCUGUCCCCCCUGCCCCAGGAGCUGCUCUCGGUGCUCGGGGCGGCCCUGGGGGGGUCCCUGGCCGCCGCCCCUCCCCCCUCGCGGCACCGGCGGCUCUCGGCGCUGCUGCGGGCGGGGAAGGGGCUGGCCCGGGGCGCGGGGACGCGGCUGCCGCCGGGGACGGUCACCAAUGUCACCGUGGGACCGGCAGCGCUGUCCCUGGCCGUGUCCCGGGGCGCCCCGCCCCUGUCACCCUGGGGGUCCCUGGGGUGACGCUCGAGGUCCCCCCCGAGGUGGCCCUGGACGAGGAGAGCGGUGUGUCCCUGGUGGGGCUGCUGACCCUGGGGGGGCUCCCCGAGGCUCUCUCGGGGGCUCCCCGCGUGCUCUGGGGGGGCUGGGGGGGGUCCGUGCCCCGCCCCCGCCGGGGCCGCCCCUUCCCCUCGUACCGGGUCCUGUCCCCGGUGGGCGCCUUGGCCGUGGCCCUUGGCGGCGCCCGGCGGGCGCGUCACGCUGGCUUCCGGCACCGGCAGCCGGUGAGUGCGGCCGGAACCGCGGGGACAUCGUAAAAA
RNAcentral lists this long non-coding RNA (624 nucleotides) under Camarhynchus parvulus. Its description in RNAcentral is "lncRNA (ENSCPVG00000016828.1)". Lineage: Eukaryota; Metazoa; Chordata; Aves; Passeriformes; Thraupidae. The record is from RNAcentral.